GAUGAACGCUGGCGGCGUGCCUAAUACAUGCGAGUCGAGCGAACGGACGAGAAGCUUGCUUCUCUGAUGUUAGCGGCGGACGGGUGAGUAACACGUGGAUAACCUACCUAUAAGACUGGGAUAACUUCGGGAAACCGGAGCUAAUACCGGAUAAUAUUUUGAACCGCAUGGUUCAAAAGUGAAAGACGGUCUUGCUGUCACUUAUAGAUGGAUCCGCGCUGCAUUAGCUAGUUGGUAAGGUAACGGCUUACCAAGGCAACGAUGCAUAGCCGACCUGAGAGGGUGAUCGGCCACACUGGAACUGAGACACGGUCCAGACUCCUACGGGAGGCAGCAGUAGGGAAUCUUCCGCAAUGGGCGAAAGCCUGACGGAGAAACGCCGCGUGAGUGAUGAAGGUCUUCGGAUCGUAAAACUCUGUUAUUAGGGAAGAACAUAUGUGUAAGUAACUGUGCACAUCUUGACGGUACCUAAUCAGAAAGCCACGGCUAACUACGUG
This 497-nucleotide ribosomal RNA is filed under the name uncultured bacterium. Its description in RNAcentral is "partial 16S ribosomal RNA". It matches the Rfam family "Bacterial small subunit ribosomal RNA", at positions 28 to 507 of the family's 1533-position model. The record is from RNAcentral.